This 475-nucleotide ribosomal RNA is filed under the name uncultured bacterium. RNAcentral describes it as "bacterial SSU rRNA". It matches the Rfam family "Bacterial small subunit ribosomal RNA", at positions 15 to 518 of the family's 1533-position model. The record is from RNAcentral.
GAUCAUGGCUCAGGAUUAACGCUGGCGGCGUGCCUAAUACAUGCAAGUCGAAUGGUAGCAAUACCAUGGCGAACGGGUGAGUAACACGUAGGUAACCUGUCUUUAAGCCGAGGAUAACCAUUGGAAACGAUGGAUAAUACUGGAUAGGAUAUUUUAAGGCAUCUUUUAAUAUUUAAAGAUUUAUCACUUAGAGAGGGGCCUGCGGCGCAUUAGCUAGUUGGUGAGGUGAAGGCUUACCAAGGCGAUGAUGCGUAGCCGGACUGAGAGGUUGAACGGCCACAAUGGAACUGAGAACGGUCCAUACUCCUACGGGAGGCAGCAGUAGGGAAUUUUCGGCAAUGGGCGGAAGCCUGACCGAGCAACGCCGCGUGAACGAAGAAGUAUUUCGGUAUGUAAAGUUCUUUUAUUAGGGACGAAAAGACAGAUUGACGGUACCUAAUGAAUAAGCUCCGGCUAACUACGUGCCAGCCGCCGC